Myotis davidii is the source of this 46-nucleotide non-coding RNA. The record is from Rfam. Lineage: Eukaryota; Metazoa; Chordata; Mammalia; Chiroptera; Vespertilionidae.
ACAAAGGAUUUCUUAAAAUCCAACAGCAGAAUUUUAAGAUGGAAUU